This is a long non-coding RNA of Heterocephalus glaber (naked mole-rat), 824 nucleotides long. The record is from Ensembl. Lineage: Eukaryota; Metazoa; Chordata; Mammalia; Rodentia; Bathyergidae.
AUUUUGAGCUAUGGGUCUAAAAAGAGAUUCUGGUUUGCCUGGAUGAUGAAGGACUUGGAAAAGCAAGAUUGGAAAUGUGAUGAAGAAGAAAUCUGGGGAAGAAGUGGAUGGAUCCGUCUGAAGAGACUAAAAAUGAAGAAUGGCUGCACAAAUGGGUCCAAACCAGAGACUUGUCCCUGGGAAGCCUAGGAGGAGGGCACCAGGUGGCCUAUAUAGAAAGAGAGCCUGGAAAGAAUUGUGGGAAACAUUAUUCUGGGCUGGGAAAGACUAAUUUUCAUAAUGUGACAGCAACAAUGGCAGCCGAAAAUUAGGAUGCUGGUAGAUGAGGUCCUCUUACUUGUUGUCCAAAAAAUACUUAAGAAAUAUGGUCUUGAGGAGAAAACAAAAAUGGUGGAGCAGAGAGGGCCAGCAACAGGAUGAAGUACCUAGAGUCUGGAAACAAUACCUUGGAGAGGAACUGGAGUGAGUGGAGAGCACAAAGGAACCACGAGGGAACUGACAGUGGAAAAGAAAAUAGGAUUAAGUGAUACAGAAGAAAUUGCUCACCACCACCCACCGAGACCGCAGGCGCAGAGUGUGUAGCUGCCUGCAAGGAUAGCAGUGACAUCAACAUUUCUGCUAAUGGAGAAACAGAGACCUGACCUUGACCGGGAAUUUUAUGGAGCUAGAGGCAGCAGUUGGACCCUAAGCCACCGUUUCCCCAGCGAACCCCCAGAGUCAAGAGUUGGUAUAUCAUGAACAACCCUCCUCGGCUAUGCUACCCUGCCUGAGAGCCAGCUGACUAUGGACUGAAACUUCUACAAACUGUGACCCUUUUCCUCCUU